AUUGAACGCUGGCGGCAUGCCUUACACAUGCAAGUCGAACGGUAACAGGUCUUCGGAUGCUGACGAGUGGCGAACGGGUGAGUAAUACAUCGGAACGUGCCCGAUCGUGGGGGAUAACGCAGCGAAAGCUGUGCUAAUACCGCAUACGAUCUACGGAUGAAAGCGGGGGAUCGCAAGACCUCGCGCGGACGGAGCGGCCGAUGGCAGAUUAGGUAGUUGGUGGGAUAAAAGCUUACCAAGCCGACGAUCUGUAGCUGGUCUGAGAGGACGACCAGCCACACUGGGACUGAGACACGGCCCAGACUCCUACGGGAGGCAGCAGUGGGGAAUUUUGGACAAUGGGCGCAAGCCUGAUCCAGCCAUGCCGCGUGCAGGAUGAAAGCCUUCGGGUUGUAAACUGCUUUUGUACGGAACGAAAAAGCUCUCUCUAAUACAGGGGGUGAAUGACGGUACCGUAAGAAUAAGCACCGGCUAACUACGUGCCAGCAGCCGCGGUAA
Molecule: ribosomal RNA, 498 nt
Filed under: uncultured bacterium
Lineage: Bacteria
Description: bacterial SSU rRNA
Rfam family: Bacterial small subunit ribosomal RNA
Source: RNAcentral